GUGUUGGAACGAAGGAAAAUGUAUAUUAACUGCCCUUGUGGAAGAAGGUGAGAGCUGAGCUUGGAAGGAAGUUUGCUGAUUCAGAGCUGGAGCCCGGAGUGCCCGGGGUGUCCUGAGGCUGUACGUUUAGGAUGUCUCUAUGGCUGUUGAUUUGAAACCGUGCAAGACGUUCUGGUAGCCAACAAAGGAAAGAGUCUUCAGUGUACUGGAAGGCGACUGACUGGCAAGGGAAUCUAGGUAGCAAAAUGUUAGCUUUGCCUAGAUUCCUCCACUAACAGCACUUUCUGGAAGGGACGGCUUCAUCUCUGUCUCCAACACAGCUUUCCUACAGGAUCCUUUCAGGGCUGCAUGCCUCACUGCUAUGAGCGACCUUAAUUGGAAAGGAAAACAAAAAACCGCUGCGGAAUUCCAUUACUAAAGCUUUUCAUCCCAACGGACAAGAAGCCGUCGCGGAUCUAGACUCAGGCUGUGGCCCGCGGCGUUACCUUUGGCUGGCCUCGAAGCACGCGGGCCGGGUUGCUCCGAGGCUGGGCCUGGCUGACUCUGCCCGAGCGACGGGACGGCAGCGGGCGGCCCGCCGCCCAGUGGCCCGCACACCGGUCCGCAGAGACCUCAGCCCGGGAGAGACGCCGGAGCCGGGUGCCCGGGCGGGACUGCACCAACGUUCGCGCAGCUGCUCCAGAUGCAGACGCGGGGGAGAAAGCUUACGAAGAUGGGGUCCACUCGCUCUCCGAAGCCGGGGAGGAAGGAUCAAUCCCGCGGGUGCUGGGCUUGAGCAGGAUGGCAUCCGCACCGGAGGGCGAUGCCCUCGAGGGACCCAGCGCUCCAGCUUCCAGGGCCAAGUCGGGAGGAUGCAGCGCCUCGGGGCCAGGGGCACUGAGCGAUCCUCGCCGCGCGUCGGUCGGUUCUUGGUCCGUUUGGGGGAGUGCACGGGGUUUUGAGAUUCUACUGAGAGGAGAGGCCUCGGCGGCUGGAAGAGCUCAAGAAGCAAGCACCCAGGGGAAAGCGGCUUCUCUGAGGCGGAGUGGCGGCUUGGGAGCUGGGUGGGGGUGUCCCGGCCCGGGGACAGGCCCCGAGAAGGUCUUACGGAGCUGGUAGCCACUGCCUCGCCCACAGUCUCUGGAGUUACAUCCCAAGGCAAACGGGCCUUCGGCCACUCAAGCCUAAAGCACCGAAGCCACUGCGAGCACCCCGCCUCAACACUUGUCACCCGAGCUCUCUCUCCUCCAGUUUUCUGCUCCGCGCACAGGUCCGCGGCCCUGAUCCCUAGACCCGCCGGGCCGUGAGCGCUGGCGGCUGUCGGAGUCCCGGGCCGCCCCUCCUCUCCGUGGGCCUCUGGGUCGCCCGCACCGCGCCGGCCGCAUCCUUGUCCGCGAUACUGCAGAGAACAGGACUCGGUCUCCAAGCACCCAACAAGGGCCCUGGCUGGGGGCACAGGUCAAAGCCGCAGUGUAGCCGGGGUGGAGGAGCCUCCAUUCCGGGGCCGUCUAAGCUCCGUCUCUGGGAAGCUUGGAGGGAGACCUGGGACCCGGUUUGAGAGUCCGGCGCGGGAGGAAUUCUGUGGAAAGGUCAUCACUGUGGAUCCCCUUUCAGCUUCCCGGAGUCUCCUGAACUUCCUCCAGGUCUCCUGAACUCCAGCUCUGCUUGCAUGUGUUCAUCCUAGGCUGGACCUUGGAAAGACCUAAACGGAUCAGGCCUGGGAUCGCAAGGAGUCUCUAACCUUGGUGUGCAGCUGGGCAAAAUAUCCCGCCUUCUCCUCCAGUGCCUGCUGGGAGAAUAGACACUCUCUAGGGAGCCAGGAACGCCUCCCAAGGGUCAGGGCGGCUAGACAGUGCACUGCCGGGCACUAAAGUGAGGUCCACGGGCCAGUAGUAUCAGCUCCACUCUGCAACAUCACCCUCCCUACUGCAGUAUUUCAGGCCCCACCCAGGCCUCCUGUAUCAGAAGCUGCAUUGAAGAUGGUGGUCCAGGGAACUGACACUCAUCUCAGGUGGAGAAGCCUAACUUAGAGAACCUCAGUUUAGCCACAGCCCACACCUUCCACCUCCUGUCUCCCAGCUGGAUUGCCACCAUCUGUCAAAUGGUGUCCUGCGGAGCUCUUAAAGCCCCCACUGCAGACCAGUGAAUUUUGAGUUUCUAGGUGGUAGAGUCCAGGCAGGAAUGUGGUUUUAAGUGUCCGCAGAUGAUUUUAACAGCAGCCAGGAAUAACUGUCAUGGAAAUACCCAUUUAACAAACUAGCUAAGGUAGGUCUGAGAUCUGUGCAAGAUGGUAAGGAAAUGGUUUAAGGCCCCUGGGCUCUGUGUCCUGAUUCACUGUAGCUCUGGCAGGUGUGGCCUUGAGACAGCUAAUUAAUCUUGCUGUGCCUCAAUUUCCUCACUUGUGAAAUGGAGUUAAAGAUGUCUACCACAAAGGGAGUAGUGUGGUUUUAGAAUCAAAUGUUUAGAAUCAUACUCAAUAGAUACUCACUUAUAAGGCCAAGUCCCUCAAUUUCGUUUUAACUCAAAAUGGCAGAACGCCCAUUUAUCUCACUCCUCUUCCCGCCUGCCAUGAGCAGUCCUCUUCUAUGGCACAGUGGCUUGAUUUUGCUUCAAAAUUCAUAUAUAUUUUCAACAUUUUCAACGUGAAAACCUGUAUUUUGAAUUGCUUAACAACGUAGUAAACCUAACCCUUUGCAGACAUUGAUUUUGCUGGUUCCAGUAAUUUUAUUCCUAUUCCUUUGGCUUUAGAAGCACCAAUGAAGUGUGCUUCUAGCUCUAUGUCUGGACAGGACAAUCACAGCAUUCAGAUACCCUGAUGGCUUGUUAAAAUAUCCUGAGAGAAAGGGCCCCGCCCAGAGAUGCUGCAUCUGUAGGCUUGGAAAGCAGCAGAGUAGUUGUAUAUUUGACCAGUCCCCGAGUCAUGUGGCUGCUUCUCUUCAAAGGGGACCAUGCUUUGAGAACCGUAGUAAUGGUCUCAGAUCAUCGUAGAAAUCUCAACUUCAGCACUGUCUGAUAGGACUAUAAAGCAAAUCACAAUUGUAAUUUUAAAUAUCCUGGUAGCCACAUUUUAUUAAUUUUUGUAUAUUUAUUUUUAUUUAAAUGUUUUUAACAUAUAACAUGGUACAAAUUUAAGAGUUACAGCAAGUUAACUUGAUAAUUUACAUAUUGUAAUGUGAUUACCAUUGUAUUGAUAGUUACCUCUAUCAUGUCACAUAAUUAUUAUUUUUUUAAUAAUUAUAAAUAUAGACAACAAAGGAAGCCCUUUGUUGUCUAUAUUUACUGUAUAUUCCAUUAGAUCUCCAAGAU
Molecule: long non-coding RNA, 3285 nt
Organism: Bos taurus (domestic cattle)
Lineage: Eukaryota; Metazoa; Chordata; Mammalia; Artiodactyla; Bovidae
Source: Ensembl